This 643-nucleotide long non-coding RNA is filed under the name Phoenix dactylifera (date palm). RNAcentral describes it as "long non-coding RNA (PDAC_LNC000498)". The record is from RNAcentral. Lineage: Eukaryota; Viridiplantae; Streptophyta; Magnoliopsida; Arecales; Arecaceae.
GCAGCAACAAUCAUACGUACAGCGUAAGCCUUGCAGCUUUUAUUGCUAAGCAAGAUGGCCCAGUAAAAAAAUAGAGAAUACAUUCUAAUUGAAAAAAAAACAUUACAUCAAACUACAUCACUCAGAAGCUGAAACUAUAAAGCAAAGUCACCUAGUGCUUAAACUUGCAAUAAUUCAAAUACAUAAGCCAUUACAUUGCUGUAGUGACAAAACAAGCUCGGGAGGGAUAGACAAGAAAAGAGAAUGUGGAAGGAUUGACAAGAAUAUAGACGAAGAUCGUUAGUUGUAACGGAAUAGAGAGCGGCCAUAAGUAAAUUUUUUUUCUCAAAAAGUCUUGCAAGGUCAAGAAAAAACCUUACAAAAAGAGAAAAAAGAUGAACUAUUUAGGAAGGACAAAAAGAAGAGAGAGAGAGAAGCUCAGCAAAGAUAGCACCAACCAUAUGGAGCACGGCUUAUGGUGUAAUCCUUCCACCUCUUCUUGUACCAUCCAAAGCUAGAAGUCAAAGACAAAGAAGCUCUCCAUCUCAAGCAGCGCAUGUAGGUGGAAUACGGAGCAAACAGAAGAAAGGCGCGGGAGGACGGAGCAAAAGGCAUGGUAGAUUUGGCCAGUCGAUCUCUCAGAGCCAAAAGGAAUGGAAGCGUG